CAUGCUAGGAACAGGAGGAGAACCUUGUCCUAACAUGAGCAAAGUCGAAGACCCGAUUAUUUUCAGACCGGAUGGGGGGAGAGGCUCUCGCAACAGCCCAUAUGUGAUCCCACAGCCCUGUUAGGAAUAGGAGGAGAACCUCAUCCUAACCUGAGCUGAAAUCGACUAUAUCAAGAACAGGAGGAGAACCUCAUCCUGACGCCAACUA
RNAcentral lists this long non-coding RNA (208 nucleotides) under Elaeis guineensis (African oil palm). RNAcentral's name for it is "long non-coding RNA (EGUI_LNC052229)". Lineage: Eukaryota; Viridiplantae; Streptophyta; Magnoliopsida; Arecales; Arecaceae. The record is from RNAcentral.